RNAcentral lists this long non-coding RNA (1134 nucleotides) under Mytilus galloprovincialis (Mediterranean mussel). The record is from RNAcentral. Lineage: Eukaryota; Metazoa; Mollusca; Bivalvia; Mytilida; Mytilidae.
AUUUAAAGUAGAAACAAACAACGACAACUUGAGUGCUACUGAUUUAGUUUAUUGAAAAGUUAACUUCAUUUUAGGUCUUUUGGUUAAAAAAAACAUGUUAUGGAGCAAAAGAUAUAUUUCUGUACUAAACGGAGGAUGAUGGCUAUUUUUAUUGCGGAUUUUUUAUUUGUUUUGCAGUAAUUGAUUAUAUAACAAGAACUUGUUUACUUUAAUGUUUUGCUGAAUCACAGAAACGGGGGAUACUUUAAGUGUUAGUAUUACAAUCAAAGUAUAAUUUGUAUAUUCGACCUUCGUGUAUCAAUGGAUUGGUAUGAUUUUUUUUUCAUUUUUGGAAAACAUUUUUAUUGACCAUUACAUGACUGAAAAGAAGAAAAACUAGGUCUUAAGAUGAUAUCGAAAUAAAUUCUUAACAAAUUUCGUCACGAUGAGCUUUGGUACCGAUUUAUAUGUCAUUUCAUAUAUUUAGUUGUUAAAAUGUUGAUGACAUUUGAAAUCUGCAAUUUUAGAAAUUUAAGAAUAUUCUAUUUAAAAAAAAAGCUUCUUUCACGAUGCUAGAAUAAGAAACUAAUUACACUAGUAAAACAAAUAUAGAAAUAACAUGCGACAAGUUAAAUAUCUUAGAGACCAGAUCUUAAAGCACAGAAAUCUAAACAUGGAGCGAUAUGAAACCCAUUACAAGGCUGUUUACAGAGUUAAUCUGGCUAAAUAUAGAAGCGUUAUAGUUUUGAUUAUGUCGUAAAUACAUCAUAAUGACGAAAUAUUUUUAUUUUUGAUUUGUAGUGAUCCAAUUUGUGUAUUGCUAUACAAAGCAUUAACUGUAUACCUGCUACUGUUUUUUGUAAUUAGACGAUGGUUAAGAUUAUAUUUGGAAUAGAAUUCUUCAAAAGGUACACAGAUGUUUAUUGUUUCUUUUGAAAUCUUGUUUCAAAUGAACCAGCAUACCCUUUUGGUAUAAUGACUUUGGUGUAAUGUAAGAUCUAUUCAAUUUUAGACAAACUCAAUUAAGUGACAACCGUGAGCUAUUGGUAGAAUAAGUUGUACUAUAAAGCGCAUGUUUUGGACCUUCUACAUCAGUUCUAACUUACUUACAUAUUAGUGCUUGCAAUACUGUUUGCUGAUUCUCCAACCUUUUCU